RNAcentral lists this ribosomal RNA (474 nucleotides) under uncultured bacterium. Its description in RNAcentral is "bacterial SSU rRNA". It matches the Rfam family "Bacterial small subunit ribosomal RNA", at positions 26 to 518 of the family's 1533-position model. The record is from RNAcentral.
AGGACGAACGCUGGCGGCGUGCCUAACACAUGCAAGUCGAGCGAGGAGAUCCUCGGGAUGAUCCUAGCGGCGGACGGGUGAGUAACACGUGGGCAACCUGCCUCAUAGAGAGGAAUAGCCUUCCGAAAGGGAGAUUAAUACCUCAUAACAUUGCAGUUUCGCAUGGAACAGCAAUUAAAGGAGUAAUCCGCUAUGAGAUGGGCCCGCGGCGCAUUAGCUAGUUGGUGAGGUAACGGCUCACCAAGGCGACGAUGCGUAGCCGACCUGAGAGGGUGAUCGGCCACAUUGGGACUGAGACACGGCCCAGACUCCUACGGGAGGCAGCAGUGGGGAAUAUUGCACAAUGGGGGAGACCCUGAUGCAAGCAACGCCGCGUGAGUGAUGACGGCCUUCGGGUUGUAAAGCUCUGUCUUCAGGGACGAUAAUGACGGUACCUGAGGAGGAAGCCACGGCUAACUACGUGCCAGCAGCGGC